UACGGAGAGCGCAAGCAUUAAUCGGAAUUAUUGGGCGUAAAGGGCGCGUAGGCGGGACGGUAAGUCAGAUGUGAAAUUCCGAAGCUCAACUUCGGAGCUGCAUUUGAAACUGCCAUUCUAAGAGGGUAGACGGAGAAAACGGAAUUCCACGUGUAGCGGUGAAAUGCGUAGAUAUGUGGAAGAACACCGGUGGCGAAAGCGGUUUUCUAGUUUAUACCUGACGCUGAGGCGCGAGAGCAAGGGGAGCAAACAGG
Molecule: ribosomal RNA, 254 nt
Filed under: uncultured bacterium
Lineage: Bacteria
Also listed under: 1 other name
Description: partial 16S ribosomal RNA
Rfam family: Bacterial small subunit ribosomal RNA
Source: RNAcentral